This 523-nucleotide ribosomal RNA is filed under the name uncultured bacterium. RNAcentral's name for it is "partial 16S ribosomal RNA". It matches the Rfam family "Bacterial small subunit ribosomal RNA", at positions 28 to 523 of the family's 1533-position model. The record is from RNAcentral.
GACGAACGCUGGCGGCGUGCCUAAUACAUGCAAGUCGAACGCUUUUUCUUUCACCGGAGCUUGCUCCACCGAAAGAAAAAGAGUGGCGAACGGGUGAGUAACACGUGGGUAACCUGCCCAUCAGAAGGGGAUAACACUUGGAAACAGGUGCUAAUACCGUAUAACACUAUUUUCCGUAUGGAAGAAAGUUGAAAGGCGCUUUUGCGUCACUGAUGGAUGGACCCGCGUUGCAUUAGCUAGUUGGUGAGGUAACGGCUCACCAAGGCAACGAUGCAUAGCCGACCUGAGAGAGUGAUCGGCCACACUGGGACUGAGACACGGCCCAGACUCCUACGGGAGGCAGCAGUAGGGAAUCUUCGGCAAUGGACGAAAGUCUGACCGAGCAACGCCGCGUGAGUGAAGAAGGUUUUCGGAUCGUAAAACUCUGUUGUUAGAGAAGAACAAGGAUGAGAGUAAAAUGUUCAUCCCUUGACGGUAUCUAACCAGAAAGCCACGGCUAACUACGUGCCAGCCGCCGCAGUAA